GGUGAGAUGGCUGAGGAUAAGGCAAUAAAUUGUAAAUUUAUGCACGAAAUAAAAAUUUCUUUCACCA
Molecule: transfer RNA, 67 nt
Filed under: Bruchinae sp. GENSP01
Lineage: Eukaryota; Metazoa; Arthropoda; Insecta; Coleoptera; Chrysomelidae
Description: tRNA-Tyr
Rfam family: tRNA
About the family: Transfer RNA (tRNA) molecules are approximately 80 nucleotides in length.
Source: RNAcentral